AAUUUGAAAUGUCUGAGCUAGACUCAUUUUUUUAGGGCUUAAAAUCUGAAUCUUCAGUGAAACUGGGGAAGAAAGAACGAUGAAGUCCUCAAGAGUUUUACUAGUGAUCCUGUGGCUUCAGUUAACCUGGAUGAAGAGUCAACAGAAGGGAGUGGAGCAGAGUCCCGGAUCUCUGAGCCUUCGGGAGGGAGACGCUGCUUCUCUCAACUGCAAUUACAGCGACAGUGCUUCCCAGUACUUCACAUGGUACAGACAGUAUUCCGGGAAGGGCCCUGAAUUGCUGAUGUAUAUGUACUCCAACAGUAACAAGACGGAAGGAAGAUUUUCGGGACAGGUUGAUAGAGCAAAACAAUAUGUCUCCCUGCUCAUCAGAGACUCCCAGCCCAGCGACUCAGCCAUCUACCUCUGUGCAGUGAGCACACAGUACUUCCCUGGCACCUGCUGUCUGUACCCAAACCCUCUAGGAUCCCAACACUGUCUUGAUAUAGAGCCUAAGCUGCAGGGUCCUCACCAGACACUCAGCCCCUCCUUCCUGCAGCUGGCUGACGUUGUGCAGAGAAGAAACCGUGACAAAAAGAGGCCAGAAGAGAAAGACUCCUUCUUACAGUCUUUGAAACUUGUCAAAGCCACGGACUUGUCCAGCCCCACCUCCCCACUCUUCCUGUAG
This is a non-coding RNA of Lutra lutra (Eurasian river otter), 667 nucleotides long. NCBI's taxonomy places the organism in Eukaryota, Metazoa, Chordata, Mammalia, Carnivora, Mustelidae. The record is from the annotation of a RefSeq genome assembly.